RNAcentral lists this ribosomal RNA (497 nucleotides) under uncultured bacterium. RNAcentral describes it as "partial 16S ribosomal RNA". It matches the Rfam family "Bacterial small subunit ribosomal RNA", at positions 28 to 507 of the family's 1533-position model. The record is from RNAcentral.
GAUGAACGCUGGCGGCGUGCCUAAUACAUGCAAGUCGAGCGAACAGACGAGGAGCUUGCUCCUCUGACGUUAGCGGCGGACGGGUGAGUAACACGUGGAUAACCUACCUAUAAGACUGGGAUAACUUCGGGAAACCGGAGCUAAUACCGGAUAAUAUAUUGAACCGCAUGGUUCAAUAGUGAAAGACGGUUUUGCUGUCACUUAUAGAUGGAUCCGCGCCGCAUUAGCUAGUUGGUAAGGUAACGGCUUACCAAGGCGACGAUGCGUAGCCGACCUGAGAGGGUGAUCGGCCACACUGGAACUGAGACACGGUCCAGACUCCUACGGGAGGCAGCAGUAGGGAAUCUUCCGCAAUGGGCGAAAGCCUGACGGAGCAACGCCGCGUGAGUGAUGAAGGUCUUCGGAUCGUAAAACUCUGUUAUUAGGGAAGAACACAUGUGUAAGUAACUAUGCACGUCUUGACGGUACCUAAUCAGAAAGCCACGGCUAACUACGUG